AUUGAACGCUGGCGGCAGGCUUAACACAUGCAAGUCGAGCGAGAUGAGGUGCUUGCACCUUAUCUUAGCGGCGGACGGGUGAGUAAUGCUUAGGAAUCUGCCUAUUAGUGGGGGGACAACAUUCCGAAAGGAAUGCUAAUACCGCAUACGGUCCUACGGGAGAAAAGACAGGGGAUCUUCGGACCUUGCGCUAAUAGAUGAGCCUAAGUCGGAUUAGCUAGUUGGUGGGGUAAAGGCCUACCAAGGCGACGAUCUGUAGCGGGGUCUGAGAGGAUGAUCCGCCACACUGGGACUGAGACACGGCCCAGACUCCUACGGGAGGCAGCAGUGGGGAAUAUUGGACAAUGGGGGGAACCCUGAUCCAGCCAUGCCGCGUGUGUGAAGAAGGCCUUAUGGUUGUAAAGCACUUUAAGCGAGGAGGAGGCUACUGAGACUAAUACUCUUGGAUAGUGGACGUUACUCGCAGAAUAAGCACCGGCUAACUCUGUG
This 489-nucleotide ribosomal RNA is filed under the name uncultured bacterium. RNAcentral's name for it is "bacterial SSU rRNA". It matches the Rfam family "Bacterial small subunit ribosomal RNA", at positions 30 to 507 of the family's 1533-position model. The record is from RNAcentral.